CGCCGGCGCCGCCGCUGCCGCGCCGUCCCGCUCCGCGUCGCGCUCCGGCGCGCUCACCCACGCCGUCGCCGCCGCCGGCUCUCCCACGCCUCCGCACCGGACGCCGCCAAGGUCCGCCGUCCCCUGCAUCGACCGCGGCUCCUUCCCCGGCGCGGGUGAGUAGCUGUCGUCGUUGCGGGCGGCGUUGGAGUGGAUCCCCGAGGAGAAAACACACCGGGGUCAAGAUUUCAGGUAUCUCCUCCCGACUCCCUCAAAUCUCUCCUCCAAAUCAGACCCUCACCGGCCUGUGUGCUCCGCCGUCGCUGGUCCAUCGGGAUCCCGCGCCGCCGCCCACCCGUCGGGACCCCGCACCGCCGCCGAUCCGUCAUCGUGCCGCGAGUAGAUCCCCGCCUCCUCCUUUCCGGGGCAAAUUCCGGCUGCCACUGUGCCCUCCUCCAUGGGAAAUGGAAUUCAAAGAAUUUUCACAGAGGCCUGCCAAGGUUUGCUCAAUGAUCGCCCCAUCAAUUUAUGGUCAUUCUGAUGUCAAGAAAGCUAUUGCAUGCUUGUUAUUUGGGGGAUCUAAGAAGAGGCUACCUGAUGGUGUACGUCUGGGUGAUCCAUUGGCAGCAAAAUCACAGGCAAGU
Panicum virgatum (switchgrass) is the source of this 623-nucleotide long non-coding RNA. RefSeq lists it as uncharacterized. Lineage: Eukaryota; Viridiplantae; Streptophyta; Magnoliopsida; Poales; Poaceae. The transcript is spliced from 3 exons. The record is from RefSeq and is a predicted model, not a curated record.